This is a non-coding RNA of Xenopus laevis (African clawed frog), 134 nucleotides long. The record is from Rfam. NCBI's taxonomy places the organism in Eukaryota, Metazoa, Chordata, Amphibia, Anura, Pipidae.
CGGUCCAUCCUAAUACCCACUGGUUGUGAUGUACCUGUUGGGUUUCGCUUGUGGACCAAAUCAAUCAGAGAAGCUUUUUUUAUAAAGGAGAUUUAUUCUAUUGGAUCUCCUGGUUUUAGUUUCUCUGGACAAUC